AGUACAGACGUAGUUUGACUCCGUGGCUACAGAACGACGCUGGCGGCAUGCCUAACACAUGCAAGUCGAACGAAGGCUUCGGCCUUAGUGGCGCACGGGUGCGUAACGCGUGGGAAUCUGCCCUUGGGUUCGGAAUAACUCAGAGAAAUUUGAGCUAAUACCGAAUGAUGUCGAAAGACCAAAGAUUUAUCGCCCAAGGAUGAGCCCGCGUAGGAUUAGCUUGUUGGUGAGGUAAAGGCUCACCAAGGCGACGAUCCUUAGCUGGUCUGAGAGGAUGAUCAGCCACACUGGGACUGAGACACGGCCCAGACUCCUACGGGAGGCAGCAGUGGGGAAUAUUGGACAAUGGGCGAAAGCCUGAUCCAGCAAUGCCGCGUGAGUGAUGAAGGCCUUAGGGUUGUAAAGCUCUUUUACCAGGGAUGAUAAUGACAGUACCUGGAGAAUAAGCUCCGGCUAACUCCGUG
RNAcentral lists this ribosomal RNA (464 nucleotides) under uncultured bacterium. RNAcentral's name for it is "bacterial SSU rRNA". It matches the Rfam family "Bacterial small subunit ribosomal RNA", at positions 1 to 507 of the family's 1533-position model. The record is from RNAcentral.